AACGCGAAGGCUGCAAACGGUGUUGACGCAAAGGAUUUCUGCCCAGUGCUCUGAA
Molecule: ribosomal RNA, 55 nt
Filed under: Karlodinium veneficum
Lineage: Eukaryota; Dinophyceae; Gymnodiniales; Kareniaceae
Description: partial Eukaryotic large subunit ribosomal RNA
Source: RNAcentral